UCUAGAACGCCAACGACGUGCGUGCGCAAGCGCGCCCAGCCAUUUUGCAAGUGAAAUUAAUGGUUUUUAAGUAUGUCUUUAUAGUAACACCUGCUUGAUUCAGUCUCUUGAACGAUCGUCCUUACAAAGGCUGACAUUUAAGACGGCUCCUGAGUUCUAUGACUGGAGCUUUGUAGCCACUGUGAAGUAGGUUAGAGUUGCCACUACGUUCAUGCCGACCGCUGUUUUUUCACGUUGGCGUGCAGGGCACAGUCUGUGAAGCAGGGCUUCAUAUAAACUGGUCUUUUUGCAGUAUUGGCACACGAGCAGUAAGCAGCAGCGUGUGUUGGGUUGAACCCACAGACAAACCGUUGCUUUCCAGUACUGUAACGAGCCUGGGAGAUCUUUCCGUGCACACGCUCCCUUCUCUUGCCAUUAAGCUCCUCUUGCCAUAAAGCUUGCAACAGACCGCAGUUGCCCAUUCAGCCCCAACCACAAACUAUGGUUUGUGGGCAAGAAUCGAGCUCUAAUUUAGGGUUCGAGAACAACGAGAAACUGUGGUUUGUCGUAAACCCGGAAGAUGUUAUUUUCAGAGUCGUGCAUGAGGGAGAGGCGACUUAAGGACUUCUGAGGCUUGUUUUCGUCUGAAUGCAGCCAAAGAGUUAGUUCCGCAUCAUUUGAGUUCAAAAGUUCUACCUGGGGAAACGUUUGGCAACAAACACGGCCCCCGCUUCCAGCCCGACAGGUUCUUGCUUCAGGUUAAAUGUUGUGACUCUGCCAUUUUAUGUGUAUUGAACAAAAUUGCACAGAGCAAAAGUGUCAGGUCGCAACUCGAGCAUUUUUAGUAGAGAUGAGUUGCAUAUAUUUUUUAUAAACACUUGAUACUUGGCAGUGCCUUCGUAUUGUACAUAACAUUGUCUCUGCGGAAAAGGUUUCUGAUCUCCUGCUUUACUUCAAAGUAAAUUCCUAUGAAAUCGCCGGGACUCUCUGCCAAGUCAUUGACUUGGGCAUCGAAGCAAGAGUCGUCGUGCUACACGGCCAAGGACAGUCCGGGGCAAGAUCACGUUGCAUCUUAACGUGCAAACAUAAUCGGUCUUUUAAAUUUCGAUUGUGCUCACCUGCGUGCUAAAAGAAACCCUCCUUGAUUUUAAAAUGAUUUUGGAAAACAAAUUCACUCUUCACUUAUAAAAACAGUUGCAACAAAAUGAGGACUAUAGUUCCACUGCAUCAAUAAAUGAAAACGUCCAGUGCGUGAAAUAAUAACAACCUGUGUCAGUUCACAGGGCUGGGAUGAUUUGUUCUGAAAAACCAAAGACUGCCAGGGUCACACAGCCCCUUUAAUACCACAAGUUGCUCCUUUUUUGGCCCUGAUUUACAAAAUACUUGUCAGCUUUUACAGUGUGUCCCCGGAUGCAGGUUGCCACCUGUCAAGGCUUUGACCAUCCCUAUUUUCUGUGGCCUAACCAACCAUGGUUUGGCAAGCCUUGGUGGUUAACCCACAGAUUGUGGCCGGUGUGCCCCAGACUCUACAAACCAACCGCUCUGAUUGACAGUGUUUCUGCUGUUUGCCACCACUGCCCUAUAGGUUGGGUUCCCAUGUUUAAAACAAAUUAGGGCAGCAGCCCCAUUCCUGGAUACUUCUGUACCCAAAUCUCAUUGAAAUCAUUACAAUUUAACCAGGCUUGGGAAACCCUGAGUCUCAAACAUAUGGUGCUAUACUGCUUUGACCAAAGCAUAGGAGUGGCUUGUACUAACUGCAGUGUCUAGAAAAGGGGAGAGGAUCCACCUAGCGCUGCCACAGCACAACUUCCAUUCAUUCCAGCGUGUGCGUGGCUUGUGCGUGGGGCUCCCCCUCAUCCUGUUUUGUCAACCGCCGUUGCGUAACAGCACUCCCAGAUGGCUGAUCGCAGUGCCUAAUACUAUUUAAAAGUCGUCAAAGCGGUCAGUAAAUAUUUCUCUCCGUUUUGUUGGGCAGGGGUUGUCAGCGAUCAUGUCUGAUCUGCUGUUGGUAUCACGACUGCUAAUAAUAGCCCAAUAUCACAUUUGCAGUUGAAAUUAAUGGAAGGUACUUGUUCAGCUAAGCUUUGUCGUCCUCUGGACUAGCCAUGGUUGUCUAAUAAUUUAACAGCCCUCCAUAGGGAUUCAAAGCUUGCACGCAGGAUUUCAGGCUCUUUAGGAGUAUUAUAGAGAAACAGGCAUCCUUCAUUCUAGUUGCUAGAUCCACAAUAAACGGAGCUAAAAACAUGGUUAGCCAUAAAACUAUCCUUCCAAGUUAGGCAGGAGGAAUAUUCAAAUAGUGGACAUGCUUUAACAAUUCCUGGCUCUGGGAAUGCAAUCUUUAUUUGAUCCGUGCAAAACAGAGGCUUCCAAACUGUUGGAAAGAGGCAAGGUAAUUUUUCUGACUUUUGAACAUGUGCUGAGGAAGGCAUUAAGGGCAUGUAUGACGACGUAACCCUGCAUAUGAUCCUGGCUCAGGAACAGAACCUAUACAAAGCUGGGCUAGUUUCUCAAGAGGUGGUGUAUUUCGUAGCCUAACGUUUCAUGAGGAAAAUUGGGGGGGGGGGGGUUAAUUUAAAAUGUGCUGUUACCCUGUAAGAUAAUUAACCUUGUAUGUUGUCGAUCCUCUUAAAUCCUGCUUUUAAGAUCAUGAAUUUCAAUGUUUCCAAUACUAUACUACCAAAUAAUGCGCUUACACACUUACUACUGUUUACAAAUGUUAUCCUCUCUGUUUUUGAUACAAAUAAUACUAUUUGUAAGCUGUCGAGUAUAGAUUCUGUUCUGUUGAAGAAACGGCAAUGCAUCAGAAUGCCAGCACUGUAUGCUGUUAUUGUAAUAAAAAUAUCCAAAUGA
This is a long non-coding RNA of Sphaerodactylus townsendi, 2829 nucleotides long. RefSeq lists it as uncharacterized. The record is from RefSeq and is a predicted model, not a curated record. NCBI's taxonomy places the organism in Eukaryota, Metazoa, Chordata, Lepidosauria, Squamata, Sphaerodactylidae. The transcript has 2 exons.